GACGAACGCUGGCGGCGUGCUUAACACAUGCAAGUCGAACGGAAAGGCCCUGCUUUUGUGGGGUGCUCGAGUGGCGAACGGGUGAGUAACACGUGAGUAACCUGCCCUUGACUUUGGGAUAACUUCAGGAAACUGGGGCUAAUACCGGAUAGGAGCUCCUGCUGCAUGGUGGGGGUUGGAAAGUUUCGGCGGUUGGGGAUGGACUCGCGGCUUAUCAGCUUGUUGGUGGGGUAGUGGCUUACCAAGGCUUUGACGGGUAGCCGGCCUGGGAGGGUGACCGGCGACCUUGGGACUGAGAUACGGCCCAGACUCCUACGGGAGGCAGCAGUGGGGAAUAUUGCACAAUGGGCGGAAGCCUGAUGCAGCAACGCCGCGUGCGGGAUGACGGCCUUCGGGUUGUAAACCGCUUUCGCCUGUGACGAAGCGUGAGUGACGGUAAUGGGUAAAGAAGCACCGGCUAACUACGUG
Molecule: ribosomal RNA, 468 nt
Filed under: uncultured bacterium
Lineage: Bacteria
Description: partial 16S ribosomal RNA
Rfam family: Bacterial small subunit ribosomal RNA
Source: RNAcentral